AGCGUUGGGUAUGGUUGGAUCACAUGCAUCAUCAUUGAUCGUACAUCCGUUGUUGUAGUGCACUUUUUUGGAUUGAUUUAGAUGACAAAUUCGGUGCUAAGAUGAGCCUGAGAAUUUUCCCAGAUAUCAAAGAAGAAGAAGAAGAAGAAGAAGAAGGUUCGAUGCAACAAGGCCAUGAAUGAGGUACCUGGCUCUGUGGGCACUAGUGCUGGCUUUUCUCUGAGAUUGGCACAGGCCCUUUUUUCUUCUGCUUCUCUUCUCUUCAUGUCUUUGGGAGUUG
This 280-nucleotide long non-coding RNA is filed under the name Theobroma cacao (cacao). RNAcentral's name for it is "long non-coding RNA (TCAC_LNC000694)". Lineage: Eukaryota; Viridiplantae; Streptophyta; Magnoliopsida; Malvales; Malvaceae. The record is from RNAcentral.